This 724-nucleotide long non-coding RNA is filed under the name Dasypus novemcinctus (nine-banded armadillo). RNAcentral's name for it is "lncRNA (ENSDNOG00000052844.1)". Lineage: Eukaryota; Metazoa; Chordata; Mammalia; Cingulata; Dasypodidae. The record is from RNAcentral.
CCCCAGCUCCUGGCCGCCCUCCCCAGGAAGUGGCUGGGGCAGAAAGCACAUCCCCUUCUCAGCGUUGUUGGGGACACUCGGGACAGCGCUUGCCUUCAGCAAUACCGGGGGGCACAAAACGGCUGCCAGAGCUGAUGCAUUUAACGGUCUAAGCCGUCCUCAGCCUCCUGCCCUCUCCGCAGUUAUCUUACCUCUGCCACUUCCCCCAGCAACAGCUAGCGCCAAUCCCCUACCGCCACCCGUUCCUAUCAGCCACUCCCCCUUCCCCAAAAGUAUAUAUAUCCUGCCUCUUUAAUAAAACUUUGCAGCUUGAUCAGAACACUGUCUUGCUGUCAUUCUUCGUGUCUCUUGUCCCGUAACAUUCCUCCCUGACAGGUGCUCAAGCCCUCGUUAGUGUCCCGCGGGCCGGCACAGACUGGCCCCCAACGUGGAGCUCGAGAGACCACGCCAGGACAGGAACGCCGCUUCACCACAGAGGGAGGGAGAGCACUCUCCAGACACUCGGCCGAGGAAAAGGCCACUCUUCAGCGGCGGAAAGGAAGACUACAGUUUGCAGUUCCGUAGCAGCGGAAAGAAAGGCAGUUCCUUAGCAGUGGAAAGAAAGACUAGCGGAAACUCCACAGAAGACUUCAAAACAGCCUGUCCGCUCCCGCUGCAACCCACCUCGAGAAGGCGCUUCGUCUCAACCGAGCGGCCUCCAACAACCACAACACCUCUGCCUUAA